RNAcentral lists this unclassified non-coding RNA (1556 nucleotides) under Hevea brasiliensis (rubber tree). Lineage: Eukaryota; Viridiplantae; Streptophyta; Magnoliopsida; Malpighiales; Euphorbiaceae. The record is from RNAcentral.
AUUCUUUGGUAGUUUAUAGCUCCACUUGGACUACAAAUUUAGCUCCACAAACUAAUGUAAAUUCAAUGAAUCAAUCUCAAGAGAAAAAAAAUAUUGAAAAUAUUAUGAAGCUAGUAAAAGAAAAUCAUACAAUGGUGGAUUAUACAUGGUAUGAACCAAAAAUACUCGGAAUACAUAAUUUUUGUUUAGGUUUCCCUAAGUUGGAGAUACUUUCUUUCAUUCUGGGUUAUCCAUGCUGAUCUCUUCCAAUUUAAGCUAUUCAAUGAACUAUAACAAUAAAUCUGGAGACAAAUCAUUUGAGGAAGUCAAUUUUUUAGAGAAAAACACACCAGUUUCUCCACCGAAAAAUGGUCGGGCAAUGCUGGAUCCUGUCAACAGCAUCGAAGUCUAGCACUCUCAGAUUGUGUGAAUUAUCCUGAUAAGCUCAUGAUGUGGUCCUUUUCUAACGUUGAUUCUCAAUUAGGAUUCCAAAGUAAUCUGCGACUCUGGGCAGGAGGGGCUAAUCCUGGAAUGUCCCGAAUGUCCUUGUUGUUCGGGUUUACAAGCUUCACAAUAAUGAUUGCUAUGACCCCAAUGACAAUAAGUACAAGCAUUGCCAUAAUGCACUUGUCAGUUGCAACCUGCCUACCGAUUUCCUUCACCAACUGAGAAGCUUUCUUAAUUGAGAAAUGGAUAGAGUCAAGCUCAUUAACAAUCCUACUCAUUUGUUCAGUCUGAGCCUUAAGAGCUGCUGCUGUUUCUGUUCCAACAUCCAUGGUCUCUUGAACAAUCUUUUUACCCCUCUCAAUUGCUUGAUCAGUCUCAUCCAUCAUCUGAUUUCCAUGAUCCAUUAACUGCUGAUUUGACAUAGCUGAAGCUAACAAUACAUUUUCUUCAUUUAAUUCUUCUCCAGGCCCAUCAAAAAGAUCGACUCUCUUGUUGUUUUCAAGAUUGGCUGCAUAUUGCUUUUUUAGAGCCACAUAUGAAUUCAACUCUUUGAUCAUUGAUUGCUUUUUCUCAUUCAACAUUCUAUUAGUGUUUGGGUCAUUUCGACUCUCCAUAUCCUUCACUUCUCUGUCAAAAUCUUUGAUAAGCCUCUUACAAUCCCUCAUCUUCCCAGUAAGCUCUUCCAACUGCCGACUCUGCCUAUUGACAUCCUUGAUCUUCUCCAAUUUCUGAAACCCAUUUGAUAAAGCUCGAAAAAUGUCGGUUAUCUGUCCGUCGAUCUGCCCAAGCUCUUCGCUAACUGCCGAUAUCGGAUCCAUCUCUGAAAUUUUCCUCUAAAAAUAUCUCAAACUUCUCAAACCCUAACCAAAAUUCGAAUGUACUUUACAAAAUUCAGGUUACAAACACGAGCUAAAACACAUAUAAACACAGAUUUCUCGAUCUGAUUCGAACAAAAAGUAAAACCAUAUGCAUUUCCCAGCUUUCAGCCUAACAAAUGCCAGAGGAUUCAAAUCCCGAAAAUUUAAUUCACACUCUCGUUUACCUCCAUUGCCAAGGGAUUGCAGGUUCCAGAAUCGGAAUUCAAAUCCAGAAAUUCCAAAGAAACAACGAAAAAAAAAGAUACAGAAUUU